GGACAGAUGGCCGAGUGGUCUAAGGCGCCGUCUUAAGGUUCGAUGAAUCGGCGGUCUUCGGGCGUGGGUUCGAAUCCCACUCUGUUCA
Molecule: transfer RNA, 88 nt
Filed under: Phakopsora pachyrhizi
Lineage: Eukaryota; Fungi; Basidiomycota; Pucciniomycetes; Pucciniales; Phakopsoraceae
Description: tRNA-Leu
Rfam family: tRNA
About the family: Transfer RNA (tRNA) molecules are approximately 80 nucleotides in length.
Source: RNAcentral